AGACACCCUUCUGGGGCAAGACUUGCUUCAGUGGGGCUUUGGUGCUCACUGAGUCUGCCCCCCUGAGUGUGUCGCU
RNAcentral lists this microRNA precursor (76 nucleotides) under Myotis brandtii (Brandt's bat). RNAcentral's name for it is "mir-9229 microRNA precursor family". It matches the Rfam family "mir-9229 microRNA precursor family". The record is from Rfam by way of RNAcentral. Lineage: Eukaryota; Metazoa; Chordata; Mammalia; Chiroptera; Vespertilionidae.